CGCACAGCGAAAGGUGCUUGCACCUUUCAAGUGAGUGGCGAACGGGUGAGUAACACGUGGACAACCUGCCUCAAGGCUGGGGAUAACAUUUGGAAACAGAUGCUAAUACCGAAUAAAACUUAGUGUCGCAUGACACAAAGUUAAAAGGCGCUUCGGCGUCACCUAGAGAUGGAUCCGCGGUGCAUUAGUUAGUUGGUGGGGUAAAGGCCUACCAAGACAAUGAUGCAUAGCCGAGUUGAGAGACUGAUCGGCCACAUUGGGACUGAGACACGGCCCAAACUCCUACGGGAGGCUGCAGUAGGGAAUCUUCCACAAUGGGCGAAAGCCUGAUGGAGCAACGCCGCGUGUGUGAUGAAGGCUUUCGGGUCGUAAAGCACUGUUGUAUGGGAAGAACAGCUAGAAUAGGAAAUGAUUUUAGUUUGACGGUACCAUACCAGAAAGGGACGGCUAAAUACGUGCCAGCAGCCGCGGUAAUACGUAUGUCCCGAGCGUUAUCCGGAUUUAUUGGGCGUAAAGCGAGCGCAGACGGUUUAUUAAGUCUGAUGUGAAAGCCCGGAGCUCAACUCCGGAAUGGCAUUGGAAACUGGUUAACUUGAGUGCAGUAGAGGUAAGUGGAACUCCAUGUGUAGCGGUGGAAUGCGUAGAUAUAUGGAAGAACACCAGUGGCGAAGGCGGCUUACUGGACUGCAACUGACGUUGAGGCUCGAAAGUGUGGGUAGCAAACAGGAUUAGAUACCCUGGUAGUCCACACCGUAAACGAUGAACACUACGUGUUAGGAGGUUUCCGCCUCUUAGUGCCGAAGCUAACGCAUUAAGUGUUCCGCCUGGGGAGUACGACCGCAAGGUUGAAACUCAAAGGAAUUGACGGGGACCCGCACAAGCGGUGGA
RNAcentral lists this ribosomal RNA (888 nucleotides) under Leuconostoc mesenteroides. RNAcentral's name for it is "bacterial SSU rRNA". It matches the Rfam family "Bacterial small subunit ribosomal RNA", at positions 63 to 936 of the family's 1533-position model. The record is from RNAcentral. Lineage: Bacteria; Bacillati; Bacillota; Bacilli; Lactobacillales; Lactobacillaceae.